AUGUCGGCGAGCGAGGGGAAGAAGACGGCGUGCGUCACCGGAGGGAGCGGUUACAUCGCUUCAGCGCUCAUCAAGCUGCUGCUCGAGAAAGGCUACGCUGUCAAGACGACCGUCAGAGACCCUGGUUCAUUUCUUGCUUCUUGGCUCCUAGUUCUGUCUUAUGACACGGAGAAGAAUUCCCACCUCAAGGACUUGCAAGCGCUUGGCCCCUUGGAGGUCAUCCGUGCCUGGCUGGACGAAGAAGGCAGCUUCGACGAUGCAGUUUCCGGCUGCGACUACGCCUUCCUUGUCGCCGCUCCGAUGAACUUCGGCUCAGCAGAUCCUGAGAGAGAUAUGAUCGAGCCGGCCGUCCAAGGAACACUCAACGUGAUGAGGUCGUGCGUGCGAGCGGGGACGGUGAAGCGGGUGAUCCUGACGUCAUCGGACGCCAGCGUGUCCAGGAGGCCGCUGCAGGGCGACCGCCACGUGCUGGACGAGAGCUCCUGGUCCGACGUCGAGUACCUCAGAGCCAACAAACCACCAACUUGGGAAUACGUGGUGUCCAAGGUGCUUCUGGAGAAGGCGGCGACCAAAUUCGCGGAGGAGAACGGCAUCAGCCUCGUCACCGUGCUGCCCGUGUUCACCUUGGGCACGGCGCCGGUCUCCAAGGCCAGAACCAGCGCCCCCCCUUACCCUCUCCCUAUUAACUGGCGAUGA
This 696-nucleotide ribosomal RNA is filed under the name Triticum aestivum (bread wheat). RNAcentral describes it as "partial small subunit ribosomal RNA". The record is from RNAcentral. Lineage: Eukaryota; Viridiplantae; Streptophyta; Magnoliopsida; Poales; Poaceae.